Molecule: long non-coding RNA, 1816 nt
Filed under: Aquilegia coerulea
Lineage: Eukaryota; Viridiplantae; Streptophyta; Magnoliopsida; Ranunculales; Ranunculaceae
Description: long non-coding RNA (ACOE_LNC001637)
Source: RNAcentral
GCCGGCCAAAUCUUUUUCAUCUCUUAUACGUGAAACAAAAACAUGUAAAAAUAAACACCACCUUCGCCUAUUAGUGAAACACAAGAAGAGUGUGCAUUUGUAAAAAUGUGAGUAUAAAUGCCAAUAACCGUGGACUUGUGGAGGGCAAAAGCUGAAGAACUGCUGAAGAACUAUCCUCCGUUGAAACAUUUAUGUUAUGCCAAUGUCCAUGGGUUGGAAUUACCUUAUCAAGAAUGCAGUCAAUACAUCCCUGGAGUUGCCUAAGUUGCCUCUGAAGCUUUGUGUAGAGUUGUGGAACCGUUUGCAGUUAUUUCUCUUGAUAUAUGAGAUGGAAGGCCUUGAUCCAAAACUAGUCAUUCCAGAUACCACCGAUAUAAAUAGCAUUUAUCAAUAACCAUAAUAUCUGAACAGCGUAGUAGUUCAUCAGAUAAUCCCACUUGUUCUUUGAUCAAUAACCAUCAUAUCAGAAUGGCGUAGUAUUUCAUCAGAUAAUCCCACUUGUUCUAUGAUCAAUAACCAUCAUAAGAUAGUAUUUCAUUAGAUAAUCCAAUGAAAAUCCCACUUGUUCUAUGAUCAGUGUUAAUGUGUCAUGGAAUGAGCAUACAGCCAGACCUGUCAGCUAUCCAAACCGAUCCAAAACCGAUCCGAACCAUUAUUUAUGGUUUUUGGAUAUCCAAAUGAGCAAAUGGAUCAGAUGAAGUGGUUUUCGGAUAUCCAAUUAUUUUUUGGUUCGGUUUGGAUAAUAUCAUAAAAAAACCGAUCCUAUCCAUUUCUUCAGAAAAAAAAAAUUUCAAUUCAAAUCUUCUGUUCUUGAAAAAUCCCAAUUCGCCUCUUCUUCUCACAACUUAUCAAUAUAGAUACAUAAUUGAUUGUUUGGUUGUUAGUAAUUGGAAGUAUAAGCUGUUAAUGCUUGCAAUUUGAUGGUUGGGGUUUGUUGAUUCAUGAAGAAAUUUGAGAUUUUCAGAAAAAUUAAUUUUUUUUUUUCGAUUCUUGUCAAAUUAAGAGUAAGUUCUGCCCCUUUGCACCCAUUUGAUGGAUUUUUGGAUGUAAUUAUAGUUAAGCAGUUUAAUAGAAGCUUUAAUAGUUGUUUUGAUUAAUAAAAUUAAAAACCUUCAAAAGGUUUUGAAGACAAAGAAGAAUAUUAUCAUUGAUGUUUAAUGACGUCGAAUCAGAAUAGAAGAGAAGUUAGAGAGGUGGAUCAUGCUCUAGAAGAAAUUGAUUUUAACGAGUGAACCAAAAGUUGUAUUUUUAAAUUUGAAAUUUUCAAACUUACCUGAAGCUCAGAGAAGAACAAAAAAAAAAAAAAAAAAAAAUUGGAGAAGAAGAGAUUUUCAGAUCGGAUCAGUUUGGAUCGGAUUGGAUAAUCCAAUACUUGAUUGGAUCGGUUUGGAUAGUAACACUUUGUAUCCAUUGUACAAUUGGAUCGGAUUGCUUUGGAUAAUAAAAGUUUGGAUCGGUUUGGAUCACAAGAAAAACCGAACCGAUCCAUUGACAGGCCUACAUACAGGCGUAUAUUCUUCACACUUAUGCACAUGCAUAUAAUUUUGGGUAUUGGUAUUUCAAGUUACCAGUUACCACUAAAACAAGGUUCAAUUAACAAAUGAGGCUCUGAAUUCUGAAAAUAUAAACCAAAGCAGUAAGUCAUUGAUCAAGGCUCCUACCAGAAAAACAAAUAUGUCCACAAAUACAAACACAUAGCUGGUUCAAGCAAAAAGCAUACCUUCGUCAUCAAAAAAAUACCACAAUGCACAACCAGAGACCUAUAACUAGGACGGCAGAGUAAAAAGACUGAUGCAGAGAAUUAAUAAACAAGGUG